AUAUCCUGAAGACUUUAGAACUCUGGCCACAUGUUACCCAGAAGAUGACAGAUGAUGGAUCAUGAUUUUGAAUUUCAGGAACAACCACUACCUCUUUAUCCAAUAACCACAUAAGCAAUCACAAAUCAAGUCUACAGUUUUUUGGCUCAAUUCAUGUGAAAUGCAAUAAACUUGUCCUUCAAUCACAGAACACAGGGAAUGAACUGGCAUUUUCUCCUGUCAGCUAAUGAAACAAUUGGGGAUCAUUGGAGAAUAAUAAAUGGACAAUUAACAGCUUUAUCUGGAG
RNAcentral lists this long non-coding RNA (286 nucleotides) under Homo sapiens (human). Its description in RNAcentral is "HSALNT0401950". The record is from RNAcentral. Lineage: Eukaryota; Metazoa; Chordata; Mammalia; Primates; Hominidae.